CUACGGGACGCUGCAGUGGGGAAUCUUAGACAAUGGGCGCAAGCCUGAUCUAGCCAUGCCGCGUGAGUGACGAAGGCCUUAGGGUCGUAAAGCUCUUUCGCUGGGGAAGAUAAUGACGGUACCCAGUAAAGAAACCCCGGCUAACUCCGUGCCAGCAGCCGCGGUAAUACGGAGGGGGUUAGCGUUGUUCGGAAUUACUGGGCGUAAAGCGCGCGUAGGCGGAUCAGAAAGUUGGGGGUGAAAUCCCGGGGCUCAACCCCGGAACUGCCUUCAAAACUCCUGGUCUUGAGUUCGAGAGAGGUGAGUGGAAUUCCGAGUGUAGAGGUGAAAUUCGUAGAUAUUCGGAGGAACACCAGUGGCGAAGGCGGCUCACUGGCUCGAUACUGACGCUGAGGUGCGAAAGCGUGGGGAGCAAACAGGAUUAGAUACCCCUGUAGUC
RNAcentral lists this ribosomal RNA (439 nucleotides) under uncultured bacterium. RNAcentral's name for it is "partial 16S ribosomal RNA". It matches the Rfam family "Bacterial small subunit ribosomal RNA", at positions 339 to 795 of the family's 1533-position model. The record is from RNAcentral.